Molecule: ribosomal RNA, 2901 nt
Filed under: Klebsiella pneumoniae
Lineage: Bacteria; Pseudomonadati; Pseudomonadota; Gammaproteobacteria; Enterobacterales; Enterobacteriaceae
Description: bacterial LSU rRNA
Rfam family: Bacterial large subunit ribosomal RNA
Source: RNAcentral
UUAAGCGACUAAGCGUACACGGUGGAUGCCCUGGCAGUCAGAGGCGAUGAAGGACGUGCUAAUCUGCGAAAAGCGUCGGUAAGGUGAUAUGAACCGUUAUAACCGGCGAUGUCCGAAUGGGGAAACCCAGUGUGAUUCGUCACACUAUCGUUAACUGAAUACAUAGGUUAACGAGGCGAACCGGGGGAACUGAAACAUCUAAGUACCCCGAGGAAAAGAAAUCAACCGAGAUUCCCCCAGUAGCGGCGAGCGAACGGGGAGCAGCCCAGAGUCUGAAUCAGCUUGUGUGUUAGUGGAACGGUCUGGAAAGUCCGACGGUACAGGGUGAUAGUCCCGUACACCAAAAUGCACAGGCUGUGAACUCGAAGAGUAGGGCGGGACACGUGGUAUCCUGUCUGAAUAUGGGGGGACCAUCCUCCAAGGCUAAAUACUCCUGACUGACCGAUAGUGAACCAGUACCGUGAGGGAAAGGCGAAAAGAACCCCGGCGAGGGGAGUGAAAAAGAACCUGAAACCGUGUACGUACAAGCAGUGGGAGCACCUUCGGGUGUGACUGCGUACCUUUUGUAUAAUGGGUCAGCGACUUAUAUUCUGUAGCAAGGUUAACCGUAUAGGGGAGCCGCAGGGAAACCGAGUCUUAACUGGGCGUUAAGUUGCAGGGUAUAGACCCGAAACCCGGUGAUCUAGCCAUGGGCAGGUUGAAGGUUGGGUAACACUAACUGGAGGACCGAACCGACUAAUGUUGAAAAAUUAGCGGAUGACUUGUGGCUGGGGGGUGAAAGGCCAAUCAAACCGGGAGAUAGCUGGUUCUCCCCGAAAGCUAUUUAGGUAGCGCCUCGUGAACUCAUCUUCGGGGGUAGAGCACUGUUUCGGCUAGGGGGUCAUCCCGACUUACCAACCCGAUGCAAACUACGAAUACCGAAGAAUGUUAUCACGGGAGACACACGGCGGGUGCUAACGUCCGUCGUGAAGAGGGAAACAACCCAGACCGCCAGCUAAGGUCCCAAAGUCAUGGUUAAGUGGGAAACGAUGUGGGAAGGCACAGACAGCCAGGAUGUUGGCUUAGAAGCAGCCAUCAUUUAAAGAAAGCGUAAUAGCUCACUGGUCGAGUCGGCCUGCGCGGAAGAUGUAACGGGGCUAAACCAUGCACCGAAGCUGCGGCAGCGACACUAUGUGUUGUUGGGUAGGGGAGCGUUCUGUAAGCCUGUGAAGGUGACCUGUGAGGGUUGCUGGAGGUAUCAGAAGUGCGAAUGCUGACAUAAGUAACGAUAAAGCGGGUGAAAAGCCCGCUCGCCGGAAGACCAAGGGUUCCUGUCCAACGUUAAUCGGGGCAGGGUGAGUCGACCCCUAAGGCGAGGCCGAAAGGCGUAGUCGAUGGGAAACAGGUUAAUAUUCCUGUACUUGGUGUUACUGCGAAGGGGGGACGGAGAAGGCUAUGUUAGCCGGGCGACGGUUGUCCCGGUUUAAGCAUGUAGGCUGAUUGUCCAGGCAAAUCCGGAUAAUCAAGGCUGAGGUGUGAUGACGAGGCACUACGGUGCUGAAGUAACAAAUGCCCUGCUUCCAGGAAAAGCCUCUAAGCAUCAGGUAACAUCAAAUCGUACCCCAAACCGACACAGGUGGUCAGGUAGAGAAUACCAAGGCGCUUGAGAGAACUCGGGUGAAGGAACUAGGCAAAAUGGUGCCGUAACUUCGGGAGAAGGCACGCUGGUGUGUAGGUGAAGCCCCUGCGGGUGGAGCUGAGACCAGUCGAAGAUACCAGCUGGCUGCAACUGUUUAUUAAAAACACAGCACUGUGCAAACACGAAAGUGGACGUAUACGGUGUGACGCCUGCCCGGUGCCGGAAGGUUAAUUGAUGGGGUUAUCCGUAAGGAGAAGCUCUUGAUCGAAGCCCCGGUAAACGGCGGCCGUAACUAUAACGGUCCUAAGGUAGCGAAAUUCCUUGUCGGGUAAGUUCCGACCUGCACGAAUGGCGUAAUGAUGGCCAGGCUGUCUCCACCCGAGACUCAGUGAAAUUGAACUCGCUGUGAAGAUGCAGUGUACCCGCGGCAAGACGGAAAGACCCCGUGAACCUUUACUAUAGCUUGACACUGAACAUUGAGCCUUGAUGUGUAGGAUAGGUGGGAGGCUUUGAAGCGUGGACGCCAGUCUGCGUGGAGCCAACCUUGAAAUACCACCCUUUAAUGUUUGAUGUUCUAACGUUGGCCCCUGACCGGGGUUGCGGACAGUGUCUGGUGGGUAGUUUGACUGGGGCGGUCUCCUCCCAAAGCGUAACGGAGGAGCACGAAGGUUAGCUAAUCCUGGUCGGACAUCAGGAGGUUAGUGCAAUGGCAUAAGCUAGCUUGACUGCGAGCGUGACGGCGCGAGCAGGUGCGAAAGCAGGUCAUAGUGAUCCGGUGGUUCUGAAUGGAAGGGCCAUCGCUCAACGGAUAAAAGGUACUCCGGGGAUAACAGGCUGAUACCGCCCAAGAGUUCAUAUCGACGGCGGUGUUUGGCACCUCGAUGUCGGCUCAUCACAUCCUGGGGCUGAAGUAGGUCCCAAGGGUAUGGCUGUUCGCCAUUUAAAGUGGUACGCGAGCUGGGUUUAGAACGUCGUGAGACAGUUCGGUCCCUAUCUGCCGUGGGCGCUGGAGAAUUGAGGGGGGCUGCUCCUAGUACGAGAGGACCGGAGUGGACGCAUCACUGGUGUUCGGGUUGUCAUGCCAAUGGCACUGCCCGGUAGCUAAAUGCGGAAGAGAUAAGUGCUGAAAGCAUCUAAGCACGAAACUUGCCCCGAGAUGAGUUCUCCCUGAGACUUUAAGUCUCCUGAAGGAACGUUAAAGACGAUGACGUUGAUAGGCCGGGUGUGUAAGCGCAGCGAUGCGUUGAGCUAACCGGUACUAAUGAACCGUGAGGCUUAACCUU